GUCCUUGUUAGAACAGAGCAUGGAUAUCUGCCAGAUCUCAAACCCCAGCCAGACUCCCAGUCUCCUCUGUUCUCAUCCUUCCUGUUUCUGCCUGGAGCUCUGUGCCUGCGGCAUCUCCUGGAGUUUACAAAAUCUGUCCGUGUGUAAAGGGUAUGCUGUGCUAUGAUGAGCAGAGGAAGACACUGAACAGUGAGCUCGGCUGAGGAAGCCAUCACACCAAGAGAACAUGCCCAUCCCAGUGCUUACCCGGCCUCUAACACGGAGGGACAGCCAAACCUCUCCUAGUGCGUGUUCCAUAGCUGGCCCUGGGCUCCUCAAACUCAUCCACGUUGAGCAAGCUUGAGGCACCACUGUCACUCCUCCUUUGAGGAACUGAGGCAGGAGGAUUGAGAGUUCCCAGUCAACCUGAGCUACGGAAUGAGACCCUGACACCCCCUGUCCCCUCUGCCUCAAAAAGCCAAUGUCAAAAAAAGGAACACUCCCCCACAAACCAGAAAGCUGUUCCAGAGUGAAGGUUGUGACAAAUCAAGACCACAGAUGUUGGGCUAGCAAGGUG
Molecule: long non-coding RNA, 556 nt
Organism: Alexandromys fortis (reed vole)
Lineage: Eukaryota; Metazoa; Chordata; Mammalia; Rodentia; Cricetidae
Exons: 3
Source: RefSeq, a predicted model, not a curated record